RNAcentral lists this ribosomal RNA (565 nucleotides) under Pseudomonas sp. P71410. RNAcentral's name for it is "bacterial SSU rRNA". It matches the Rfam family "Bacterial small subunit ribosomal RNA", at positions 202 to 762 of the family's 1533-position model. The record is from RNAcentral. Lineage: Bacteria; Pseudomonadati; Pseudomonadota; Gammaproteobacteria; Pseudomonadales; Pseudomonadaceae.
UUCGGGCCUUGCGCUAUCAGAUGAGCCUAGGUCGGAUUAGCUAGUUGGUGAGGUAAUGGCUCACCAAGGCGACGAUCCGUAACUGGUCUGAGAGGAUGAUCAGUCACACUGGAACUGAGACACGGUCCAGACUCCUACGGGAGGCAGCAGUGGGGAAUAUUGGACAAUGGGCGAAAGCCUGAUCCAGCCAUGCCGCGUGUGUGAAGAAGGUCUUCGGAUUGUAAAGCACUUUAAGUUGGGAGGAAGGGUUGUAGAUUAAUACUCUGCAAUUUUGACGUUACCGACAGAAUAAGCACCGGCUAACUCUGUGCCAGCAGCCGCGGUAAUACAGAGGGUGCAAGCGUUAAUCGGAAUUACUGGGCGUAAAGCGCGCGUAGGUGGUUUGUUAAGUUGGAUGUGAAAUCCCCGGGCUCAACCUGGGAACUGCAUCCAAAACUGGCAAGCUAGAGUAUGGUAGAGGGUGGUGGAAUUUCCUGUGUAGCGGUGAAAUGCGUAGAUAUAGGAAGGAACACCAGUGGCGAAGGCGACCACCUGGACUGAUACUGACACUGAGGUGCGAAAGCGU